This 296-nucleotide unclassified non-coding RNA is filed under the name uncultured fungus. Its description in RNAcentral is "partial contains small subunit ribosomal RNA, internal transcribed spacer 1, and 5.8S ribosomal RNA". The stretch from base 1 to 73 matches the Rfam family "Eukaryotic small subunit ribosomal RNA", at positions 1759 to 1831 of the family's 1831-position model. Lineage: Eukaryota; Fungi. The record is from RNAcentral.
CCAAACUUGGUCAUUUAGAGGAAGUAAAAGUCGUAACAAGGUUUCCGUAGGUGAACCUGCGGAAGGAUCAUUAACGAGUGGGGUUGCCUCCGGGCGCCCAAACUCCCAACCCUUGACUACCAAGAUUGUUGCUUCGGUGGGCCGCGGAGACACCUCCCCGCCGGCCCCGGCUGGCGAGUGCCCGCCGAAGGUUCAAACCAAACUCGUUUAAAUUUUGCUGUCUGAAAAUCUUAUUUAAUAAGCUAAAAACUUUCAACAACGGAUCUCUUGGUUCUGGCAUCGAUGAAGAACGCAGC